This 629-nucleotide ribosomal RNA is filed under the name Bradyrhizobium japonicum. RNAcentral describes it as "bacterial SSU rRNA". It matches the Rfam family "Bacterial small subunit ribosomal RNA", at positions 58 to 731 of the family's 1533-position model. Lineage: Bacteria; Pseudomonadati; Pseudomonadota; Alphaproteobacteria; Hyphomicrobiales; Nitrobacteraceae. The record is from RNAcentral.
CAAGUCGAGCGGGCGUAGCAAUACGUCAGCGGCAGACGGGUGAGUAACGCGUGGGAACGUACCUUUUGGUUCGGAACAACACAGGGAAACUUGUGCUAAUACCGGAUAAGCCCUUACGGGGAAAGAUUUAUCGCCGAAAGAUCGGCCCGCGUCUGAUUAGCUAGUUGGUGAGGUAAUGGCUCACCAAGGCGACGAUCAGUAGCUGGUCUGAGAGGAUGAUCAGCCACAUUGGGACUGAGACACGGCCCAAACUCCUACGGGAGGCAGCAGUGGGGAAUAUUGGACAAUGGGGGCAACCCUGAUCCAGCCAUGCCGCGUGAGUGAUGAAGGCCCUAGGGUUGUAAAGCUCUUUUGUGCGGGAAGAUAAUGACGGUACCGCAAGAAUAAGCCCCGGCUAACUUCGUGCCAGCAGCCGCGGUAAUACGAAGGGGGCUAGCGUUGCUCGGAAUCACUGGGCGUAAAGGGUGCGUAGGCGGGUCUUUAAGUCAGGGGUGAAAUCCUGGAGCUCAACUCCAGAACUGCCUUUGAUACUGAAGAUCUUGAGUUCGGGAGAGGUGAGUGGAACUGCGAGUGUAGAGGUGAAAUUCGUAGAUAUUCGCAAGAACACCAGUGGCGAAGGCGGCUCACUG